ACGCUAGCGGCAGGCCUAACACAUGCAAGUCGAGGGGUAGAUUUUCUUCGGAGAAUUGAGACCGGCGCACGGGUGCGUAACGCGUAUGCAACUUACCUUAUACUGGGGGAUAGCCCGGAGAAAUUCGGAUUAAUACCGCAUAUGCUCACAGUCUCGCAUGGGACGGUGAGGAAAGAUUUAUCGGUAUAAGAUAGGCAUGCGUCCUAUUAGCUUGUUGGUGAGGUAACGGCUCACCAAGGCGAUGAUAGGUAGGGGGCCUGAGAGGGUGGUCCCCCACACUGGUACUGAGACACGGACCAGACUCNUACGGGAGGCAGCAGUGAGGAAUAUUGGGCAAUGGAGGCAACUCUGACCCAGCUAUGCCGCGUGAAGGAUGAAGGUCCUCUGGAUUGUAAACUUCUUUUGUAUGGGGAUAAACUUUUCUACGUGUAGAAAACUGAAGGUACCAUACGAAUAAGGAUCGGCUAACUCCGUGCCAGCAGCCGCGGUAAUACGGAGGAUCCAAGCGUUAUCCGGAUUUAUUGGGUUUAAAGGGUCCGUAGGCGGGUCUUUAAGUCAGUGGUGAAAGCCUGCAGCUUAACUGUGGAAAUGCCAUUGAUACUGGAGGCCUUGAGUGUAGUAGAAGUAGGCGGAAUAGGGCAUGUAGCGGUGAAAUGCAUAGAUAUGCCCUAGAACACCGAUUGCGAAGGCAGCUUUACUAUGUUACAACUGACGCUGAGGGGACGAAAGCGUGGGGGAGCAAACAGGAUUAGAUACCCUGGUAGUCCACGCCGUAAACGAUGAUUACUCGUUGUUGGCGAUAUACAGUCA
This 810-nucleotide ribosomal RNA is filed under the name uncultured Flavobacteriales bacterium. RNAcentral's name for it is "bacterial SSU rRNA". It matches the Rfam family "Bacterial small subunit ribosomal RNA", at positions 33 to 839 of the family's 1533-position model. Lineage: Bacteria; Pseudomonadati; Bacteroidota; Flavobacteriia; Flavobacteriales. The record is from RNAcentral.